Long non-coding RNA from Pteropus alecto (black flying fox), 1569 nucleotides. RefSeq lists it as uncharacterized. The transcript has 3 exons. Lineage: Eukaryota; Metazoa; Chordata; Mammalia; Chiroptera; Pteropodidae. The record is from RefSeq and is a predicted model, not a curated record.
UUCUCCAAAUUGAUCCAGAACUUUGGCCCCACACGGACUCAGGACAGCCCUCCUGGCGAGUUCGCACCAGGAGGAACUUUUUCUCGCUGGCCUUGGCCCGUCCCCCUUACUGGGCUGCUCAAUGGUGGCAUCGAGUUCCCCGCGCCCUGCGUGCAGAGUUGCUGCUUUCCCUUCCUGAAAGCCCAAGAGCUCUUUGCCUCUUCAGUUUGUCCUAGAACCAGCCCCGCUGUCCCCUCCUGCCGCCUUUCUGGACUAUGGAUUUGAUUUGCACCGGUGUCCACAGGCUGUCCCCCGGGGCAGCAGAAAACACAGGCAAAGUCCAAUUUUGUCUCUUAACUCUUGGGAAGGGAGCCAUGACCGCUGGGGACCCUCCACAGAAGUCUCCCAAGACACAGACGGGACACAAUCAGAAACAAGACAGAUGCCUACCAGCACAGAUUCUCCACCAAUGGCAUCAGGUUUUGCCAUGCUUGGGUUUCUUUGGUCUAAAGAUACCAGAGGACAAGCUUUCCCUGCAGGACAUUCAAAGCCAGUGGGAAAUUCACACUCAAAUGGCACAGAGUUAACAGUGCCCCAUUUAUCCAUAACACCAUCAUGCAUGUAUUUCAUACCUAAACGCUUUCACAUACAUUACCUAAUAUAACCCAUACCUAUGAGGUAGGUAUUAUCACCUCCAUUGUAACAAAAGGGAGAUUCAGACCUUUUCAAGAUCGGAUAACUAAUAGCUCCCUGGAGAUGGAAUCCAGAUUCAGACUCAACAUUUCUGGCCCGUUCUUCUCUUCAGGACCUCUCAUGUUGGACACUACACACACUCAUCCCAGAUGGCUGCCAAAUGGGGUUUUCCUCUGCUGAACAGUAUGAAGUCUUCUCAUUCUUUAAGUCUCAACUUCAAUGUCAUCACCGAGAGGCCCUCUCUGACACCCACUGAAUCUAACUUGACAGGUCUCUCCUGUCACAUCCUCUGUCUCAGCACCCUACUUAUUUCCUAUGUUAUACUUUCCUCAAUCUCUAAAUAUUUUUACUAAUUUAUUUACAAAUGUGUAGGCUUUUUUCUCCUACGAGAAGAGAUAAUGUGUAUGUCUUGCGCCCUGUGGAAUCCCCAGGGCCCCCGAACAGGGCUUGGCACAAGACAGGUACUUAAUAAGCAUUCGAUGAGUAAGCGAACGAAUAAAGUAAUUCAGGAUGAGGGAGAUCAUGUGUAAAUAUUGACAGACUAUGCAUUUUAAAUGAAUAAAAAUGUGUUUAUCAAUGAAACCAUAUUUUAUUGUGCUAUACAAUUUGAGUGUUUACUAUGUACUAGGUACUUUUUGAGUCACUGGGCUAUAACAGUAGACAAAAUCUUUGCUCUCAUGGGGUUUAUAUUCAAAUGUUUGUGUGCAUGCAUUUCUGUGAAAGGUAAUAAACAUAAACGUCAAUAUGCAAGUUGGUGGUAAGUGCUAUGAAGAAAAAAUAGAGCAGGAAUUGGGAUCAGGAAUGCGAGGAGAGGUUGGGGGUAGCAGAAUGCCAUUUUCAUGAGUGCCACUAGAGAAAGCCUUCAAAAAGAUGACAUUUGAACAAAGAGCUGAAGGA